UACGUAGGGUGCAAGCGUUAUCCGGAAUUAUUGGGCGUAAAGAGCUCGUAGGCGGUUUGUCGCGUCUGCUGUGAAAACUGGAGGCUCAACCUCCAGCCUGCAGUGGGUACGGGCAGACUAGAGUGAUGUAGGGGAGACUGGAAUUCCUGGUGUAGCAGUGAAAUGCGUAGAUAUCAGGAGGAACACCGAUGGCGAAGGCAGGUCUCUGGGCUGACACUGACGCUCAUGCACGAAAGCGUGGGGAGCAAACAGG
This 253-nucleotide ribosomal RNA is filed under the name uncultured bacterium. RNAcentral describes it as "partial 16S ribosomal RNA". It matches the Rfam family "Bacterial small subunit ribosomal RNA", at positions 524 to 776 of the family's 1533-position model. The record is from RNAcentral.